GUCACCUUCAGCUCGGUCAGAGGAGGCACCGUCCCACUGGUGAAGUACCUGAAGGCCGGGCUGGGCGACUGCAUGGCAUUCAAAAAUACCUGGUUCAACAACGACCCUCGUAAAUUGUCCAUUCUUCAAAACAACCUUUCACCUUUACAAUGUCCUCUGUGUCCUGGGCUGCGUUCUGGAAGACAUGACUGCAAUGCUGCAGGAGAACGGCCAAGCUCUCGCACGCCCCUUCGAUGGCGAACUUACUGGCGCAGUAGACCUCGUUAAAUGGAAGGCCUGUGGAACAAGUUUGAUUCAGAACGACCAAUGCGGGAAAUUCAGAUCGGUCCUCACCGUGAAGGCCUCCAACGCUGCCAGUGACCAUGAUACGACCGCCGCGCUGAGCCUUCAUCCCGGGCAGAAAGGCCUUGAUGGUCAGGAUGGUGCCCAGAAGGUUGACUUCCAGAAUUUGCUUCAUGGAGUCCAAAGAGUGAGCCUCCAGGGGACCCAUCAAACCCACACCGGCAUUACAGACUGAAAAAAAAAAAAAAAAAAACCAAUUAGGUGAGUUUACAUUUGAUUCCUCAAUUUUGAGCUUCCACGCGAGGACGCACCAAGAAUGUCCACUCGCUUCUCGGCCACCUUGUCCCUGGCGUCCAGGAUGGACUGGCGGUCUGUGACGUCCAUCUGAAGAAUGUCCAGCGUGUCCUUGUGCAGGCCUUUGACGCUCUCCAGAAGACGCUCCUUCUUGGCCAGGUUCCUCAUGGUGGCGUACACUUGGACACAAUUUAGAGACCUCAAUCAACUUAACAUGCAUGUUUCGUGGAUUGUUACAGAAAAAACACGAGAGCACGAAAAGCCAGAUUCCGAGAUUUGAAACCUUUAACCUUUAUGCUCCGUAAAAGAAAA
Long non-coding RNA from Syngnathus acus (greater pipefish), 888 nucleotides. RefSeq lists it as uncharacterized. NCBI's taxonomy places the organism in Eukaryota, Metazoa, Chordata, Actinopteri, Syngnathiformes, Syngnathidae. The record is from RefSeq and is a predicted model, not a curated record. The transcript is spliced from 3 exons.